CCCUUAGAUGUUCUGGGCUGCACACGUGCUACACUGGCAGGUUCAGCGAGCUUCAUGCCCUGAUCUGAAAGGAAUGGGAAAUCUUUUCAAAACCUGCCGUGCUUGGGAUAGAUGUUUGCAAUUAUUCAUCUUCAACGAGGAUUGCCUUGUAAGCGCACGUCAUCAGCGUGCAUUGAAUACGACCCUGUAUUCUGUACACACCGCCCGUCGCUCCUACCGAUUGAAGUUUUCGGUGAGUUGACAGGAGGAUUUUUUUGAAACUGGUUCGCCAGUGGAUUUUAGAUCCAAAUGCCAACGAAUCGAUGGCUUUAGAGGAAGGAGAAGUCGUGACA
This 332-nucleotide ribosomal RNA is filed under the name uncultured eukaryote. Its description in RNAcentral is "partial 18S ribosomal RNA". It matches the Rfam family "Eukaryotic small subunit ribosomal RNA", at positions 1470 to 1796 of the family's 1831-position model. The record is from RNAcentral.